CAAACUUUGCGGGAACUUGAUCGAUGCGGAACGGGGCGGUGCGCGGUGCUGCCGGGGCUGGGCUGCGAGAUAACAGCGCGCUCGGGAGCUUAAUUUCACAAUUAGUUUGCCGUAUUAUUGGAAGCAAAUCAUAUUUCACUGUGCCUACACCAGCGCGCUAUUUUUAGCCAGAAUGUCGCUAAAAAGGAGGAACCUACCGAGAUGUAUUAUCGCGCAGAACGCAAACAAUUCCCUCUCUUCCCUCACUCCGUGCCACGCAGCAGCUAUGGAGCUCGGGUCGCUCCCAACCUGGCGCCGGUGCCCUUCGGGGCAGAGGGCAGUGCCCGCCCGCAGGGACCCCCCCCCCGCCCCGGCAGCGCCGGCCCGCUCCGUGCCACACACAGCAGUGGAAUGCUGGGCCGAGGGUCGCGUUGCUUUGUCUCACUCUUCCUGCCAUUCUUGCGGAGUUUAUUUUUAUUUUUCAGGGCAAAGGUGUAAAUACAAACAGCAGCUGGAAUGCCUGGAGGUAGACUCAGCCUUAGUGGUUAGCAGCAGUCACUGAAGACUGACAUUACCUUGCCUGCUCGAGCCUGGUCAGAAGAAGCACAUUCCAUGAAUGUGCAAGAAUUUCUGGCAUGAAUUCUUGUACAUGCACAUUUACAUUUUGGCUUCUGCGCAUGCUGUUCUUGCGACUGCCACUUUGAACUCUGCUUUUCGUGAGUAAUUCCAACAACAAAAUUCAGACCUUCAUAUACACACAGAAAGCAAACACAAAAGAGGCAGGAACAGAGCCAAAUGAAAGUAAUUUUAAAUGUUUUUCUUUAUUUAUUUUGCAUUGCACUCACAGCUCUGGCUAGACAGUGAUAGAGUAAAAAUUAUGCACCCCACUCAAGACUUCUAAAGGAAGAUCAGCCAAGACUCAGAGGAAAUCUUAUUUGUUUAAGAGUCAAAGUUGGUCCAGAGCAGGAAUGAUAGAGAGUGUAGCCAACCAGCAUGUUUUGGUUUUGUCUUCUAUGAGUAACUUAAAAUUGAAAAAUUAAGCCUAUCUGAAACCUUUUGUGUUAGACAGCUACACAGAAAACAUCACUACUUUGAAAUGCAAGAUGAGGUACUGAUUUUUUUUUCAUCGAGUUUCUUUAGUUCUCUUCUAGGCAAAGGACACCCUCCUGAGAAUGCAAGAGCUCUCCAUCCCCCAGCAAAAGAAGUCAAGUAGAGGAGGCGGGUGACCGAUGUCGCUGAGCAAGGACCUGCAGCUUAAACUGAGGGAAAAGAGAGAAAUGUAUGCGAAGUGGAAGCAGGGUUGUGCAGCCUGGGAGGAAUAUAGGGCUGUUGUCUGCAUAUGUAGAGAUAGGAUCAGGAAAGCCAAGGCGCAAUCGAGUUGAACUUGGCUAGGGAUGUGAAAAAUAACAAGAAGGGGUUCUACAGGUACAUAGGCAGGAGGAGACGGGUCAAGGAGUGUGUUCCCCCUCUGAUAAAUGAGGAUGGAGAAGUGGCUUCCUCAGUCACGGAAAAAGCCGAGGUGCUCAAUAAGUGCUUUGCCUUGGUCUUCACUGGUGGUCAGG
RNAcentral lists this long non-coding RNA (1541 nucleotides) under Numida meleagris (helmeted guineafowl). Its description in RNAcentral is "lncRNA (ENSNMEG00000001630.1)". Lineage: Eukaryota; Metazoa; Chordata; Aves; Galliformes; Numididae. The record is from RNAcentral.